UACAGAGGGUGCGAGCGUCAAUCGGAAUUACUGGGCGUAAAGGGUGCGUAGGCGGUUAUAUGAGUGGUAUGUGAAAGCCCUGGGCUUAACCUAGGAAGUGCAUCCCAAACGAUAUAACUGGAGUAUAUGAGAGGGUGGCGGAAUUUCCGGUGUAGCGGUGAAAUGCGUAGAGAUCGGAAGGAACGUCGAUGGCGAAGGCAGCCACCUGGCAUAAUACUGACGCUGAGGCACGAAAGCGUGGGGAGCGAACAGG
RNAcentral lists this ribosomal RNA (253 nucleotides) under uncultured bacterium. Its description in RNAcentral is "partial 16S ribosomal RNA". It matches the Rfam family "Bacterial small subunit ribosomal RNA", at positions 524 to 776 of the family's 1533-position model. The record is from RNAcentral.